This 426-nucleotide ribosomal RNA is filed under the name uncultured bacterium. Its description in RNAcentral is "bacterial SSU rRNA". It matches the Rfam family "Bacterial small subunit ribosomal RNA", at positions 28 to 457 of the family's 1533-position model. The record is from RNAcentral.
GAUGAACGCUGGCGGCGCGCCUAACACAUGCAAGUCGAACGGCACCCCUCUCCGGAGGGAAGCGAGUGGCGAACGGCUGAGUAACACGUGGAGAACCUGCCCCCUCCCCCGGGAUAGCCGCCCGAAAGGACGGGUAAUACCGGAUACCCCGGGGUGCCGCAUGGCACCCCGGCUAAAGCCCCGACGGGAGGGGAUGGCUCCGCGGCCCAUCAGGUAGACGGCGGGGUGACGGCCCACCGUGCCGACAACGGGUAGCCGGGUUGAGAGACCGACCGGCCAGAUUGGGACUGAGACACGGCCCAGACUCCUACGGGAGGCAGCAGUGGGGAAUCUUGCGCAAUGGGGGGAACCCUGACGCAGCGACGCCGCGUGCGGGACGGAGGCCUUCGGGUCGUAAACCGCUUUCAGCAGGGAAGAGUCAAAACU